RNAcentral lists this antisense RNA (69 nucleotides) under Amycolatopsis keratiniphila. Its description in RNAcentral is "ASpks TB sRNA". It matches the Rfam family "ASpks TB sRNA". The record is from RNAcentral. Lineage: Bacteria; Bacillati; Actinomycetota; Actinomycetes; Pseudonocardiales; Pseudonocardiaceae.
CUUCAGCGAACCGAGCCACAGCGGGGUUUCGCGAUCCUGGCCGUAGGUGGCCAGCAGCGCCUGUGCCUC